GCCGGAGUGGUGGAACUAGGCAGACACGCGAGGUUUAGGACCUCGUGCCUUCGGGUGUGCGAGUUCGAUUCUCGCCUCCGGCACCA
RNAcentral lists this transfer RNA (86 nucleotides) under marine sediment metagenome. Its description in RNAcentral is "tRNA-Leu". It matches the Rfam family "tRNA". From Rfam's summary of the family: Transfer RNA (tRNA) molecules are approximately 80 nucleotides in length. Their secondary structure includes four short double-helical elements and three loops (D, anti-codon, and T loops). The record is from RNAcentral.